AUGGCCAGCCUCCGGAUCGACGAGCGCAGCGGCACCGGCAGGUUCCCGGCCGCCGUGUGGCAUAGCGACAAGCCCAGGACCUUUCUCGCUUGGUCCACGGGCGCAGUCGCCUGGGAGCUCGCCGUCCCGGUUGCGUUCCGGCGCCAUGAGUCGCGCUACGUCGACACGGACGCCGACUGCCUCACCAUACACUGCACCGUCGAGGUCCUCCUCCAGCAGCAGGAGAACAACUCCGCCACCAGCACCAGGAACUGCUUCGUCUCCGUUCCUCCGCCCCCCAGCAUCUCCCAAGACUUGCACAGGCUUCUCAGGGAGAGGCAGUCGCCCGAGCCGGACGUGACAUUCGUCCUCGAGGAUGGUACCGAGAUCGAGGCGCACAAGCUGGUAAUGGCCAUGCGGUCGCCUGUAUUCCGCGCCCAGUUCUUAUGCGGGGACAUGAAGGAGCGGAGCACGCGGCGCUUCAUAAUGGACGGCAUGAGCGCCUCCACCUUGAGGGCGAUGCUCUACUUCAUCUACACCGACGAGCAGCCUACACCCAGGAGAGGAAGAUGCCGUGUGGCCAUGGCACAGGACCUGCUCGUGGCCGCGGAUCUCUAUGACCUAGAGAGGCUUAGGCUCAUGUGCGAGAAGAUACUCUCCGAGAGCAUGGACGUCGAAAAUGUCAUGACAACGUUGGUGCAGGUGGACGGCCGGCAGAGCUGCCAGCAGCUUGAGGCAUCGUGCAUCGAGUUCAUGGCGUCCGACCCAGACGUGUACGACGCUGUGGAGGCCACCGAGGAGUACAAAGAACUCGAAAAGACAUGA
This 804-nucleotide ribosomal RNA is filed under the name Triticum aestivum (bread wheat). RNAcentral's name for it is "partial small subunit ribosomal RNA". Lineage: Eukaryota; Viridiplantae; Streptophyta; Magnoliopsida; Poales; Poaceae. The record is from RNAcentral.